Molecule: long non-coding RNA, 732 nt
Filed under: Chinchilla lanigera (long-tailed chinchilla)
Lineage: Eukaryota; Metazoa; Chordata; Mammalia; Rodentia; Chinchillidae
Description: lncRNA (ENSCLAG00000023808.1)
Source: RNAcentral
GGAAAUCUGCUGAAAUAAUACUUUCACUGUGACUGAAUUUUAUAGUAUUUACAAAAUAUAAGUGAUGAUGUGAAAAAUAGAUUCAGAUUGCUACACAGUGGAGAAAUAGUCUAAGCUUAAAAUACUUUUCCCCUGACCACUAAGAACAGGGCACAGAAAUGCAUCUGAGCCAAAGAAAAGUUUAACUUUGGCUGCUUUAAUAAACCAUGUUCUUUGUUCUACUACACCCUACGGGUUUCAUGAACAGUACUGUGUGAUCAAUAACACAUAAAUCAGAACUCUUGAGUCAUAAGGUCUUUGAUGCUGAGACUGAGCCAGCUUAGAAGAAAAUUAUUUUCUUGCUUCUCAGAGUUGCACAAACUUCUUUAGUUUAUAUCUGUCUACUCUUUCAUAGUUUGGAAGCUUUUGAUGGGCUGAAAUGAAGUUCUGAUUUCCAUUCUUUACUAAGCAAAGAUGAGCUAAUCUAAAAAGAACUUCAGGCUUCUUCCAAAGCAGGCGCUUUUGCCGCUGAGCUAAAUCCCCAGCCCCCAACAUGUUCUUCCAAAAUCUCAUAUUCUGAUAAAAAGCACAUUAUAGAAGCUUGUAUACAUUAUUUUAUGAUGCUUCAGAGAAAGAAAAAAUUGAGCUGAUAAAAUUAUGGGACUGAAAAUGAGAAGAAAGUUCUGUGACAAUCACUUAUGAAAUUAUUGCAUUUAAUAUGAACAGAGAGCUGGGCAGGUGAAUAUUUCUCUC